This 468-nucleotide ribosomal RNA is filed under the name uncultured bacterium. RNAcentral's name for it is "partial 16S ribosomal RNA". It matches the Rfam family "Bacterial small subunit ribosomal RNA", at positions 28 to 507 of the family's 1533-position model. The record is from RNAcentral.
GACGAACGCUGGCGGCGUGCUUAACACAUGCAAGUCGAACGGUGAAGCUCCAGCUUGCUGGAGUGGAUCAGUGGCGAACGGGUGAGUAACACGUGAGCAACCUGCCCCUGACUCUGGAAUAAGCGCUGGAAACGGCGUCUAAUACUGGAUACGAGAAGGGUCCGCAUGGGCACUUUCUGGAAAGUUUUUCGGUUGGGGAUGGGCUCGCGGCCUAUCAGCUUGUUGGUGAGGUAAUGGCUCACCAAGGCGACGACGGGUAGCCGGCCUGAGAGGGCGACCGGCCACACUGGGACUGAGACACGGCCCAGACUCCUACGGGAGGCAGCAGUGGGGAAUAUUGCACAAUGGGCGAAAGCCUGAUGCAGCGACGCCGCGUGAGGGAAGACGGCCUUCGGGUUGUAAACCUCUUUCAGCAGGGAAGAAGCGAAAGUGACGGUACCUGCAGAAGAAGCACCGGCUAACUACGUG